This 478-nucleotide ribosomal RNA is filed under the name uncultured bacterium. Its description in RNAcentral is "bacterial SSU rRNA". It matches the Rfam family "Bacterial small subunit ribosomal RNA", at positions 37 to 507 of the family's 1533-position model. The record is from RNAcentral.
UGGCGGCAUGCCUUACACAUGGCAAGUCGAACGGCAGGCACGGGUGCUUGCACCUGGUGGCGAGUGGCGAACGGUGAGUAAUAUAUCGGAACGUGCCCAGUCGUGGGGGAUAACGUAGCGAAAGUUACGCUAAUACCGCAUACGAUCUACGGAUGAAANCGGGGGAUCGCAAGACCUCGCGCGAUUGGAGCGGCCGAUAUCAGAUUAGGUAGUUGGUGGGGUAAAGGCUCACCAAGCCAACGAUCUGUAGCUGGUCUGAGAGGACGACCAGCCACACUGGAACUGAGACACGGUCCAGACUCCUACGGGAGGCAGCAGUGGGGAAUUUUGGACAAUGGACGCAAGUCUGAUCCAGCCAUUCCGCGUGCAGGAUGAAGGCCCUCGGGUUGUAAAGCACUUUCAGUGGGGAGGAAGGGGUGAUGCCUAAUACGCAUCAUCAUUGACGUUACCCACAGAAGAAGCACCGGCUAACUCCGUG